GACGAACGCUGGCGGCGUGCCUAAUACAUGCAAGUAGAACGCUGAAGGAGGAGCUUGCUUCUCUGGAUGAGUUGCGAACGGGUGAGUAACGCGUAGGUAACCUGCCUGGUAGCGGGGGAUAACUAUUGGAAACGAUAGCUAAUACCGCAUAAUAGUAGAUGUUGCAUGACAUUUGCUUAAAAGGUGCAAUUGCAUCACUACCAGAUGGACCUGCGUUGUAUUAGCUAGUUGGUGGGGUAACGGCUCACCAAGGCGACGAUACAUAGCCGACCUGAGAGGGUGAUCGGCCACACUGGGACUGAGACACGGCCCAGACUCCUACGGGAGGCAGUAGUAGGGAAUCUUCGGCAAUGGACGGAAGUCUGACCGAGCAACGCCGCGUGAGUGAAGAAGGUUUUCGGAUCGUAAAGCUCUGUUGUAAGAGAAGAACGAGUGUGAGAGUGGAAAGUUCACACUGCGACGGUAUCUUACCAGAAAGGGACGGCUAACUACGUG
Molecule: ribosomal RNA, 495 nt
Filed under: uncultured bacterium
Lineage: Bacteria
Description: partial 16S ribosomal RNA
Rfam family: Bacterial small subunit ribosomal RNA
Source: RNAcentral